GAUGAACGCUGGCGGCGUGCCUAAUACAUGCAAGUCGAGCGAACGGACGAGAAGCUUGCUUCUCUGAUGUUAGCGGCGGACGGGUGAGUAACACGUGGAUAACCUACCUAUAAGACUGGGAUAACUUCGGGAAACCGGAGCUAAUACCGGAUAAUAUUUUGAACCGCAUGGUUCAAAAGUGAAAGACGGUCUUGCUGUCACUUAUAGAUGGAUCCGCGCUGCAUUAGCUAGUUGGUAAGGUAACGGCUUACCAAGGCAACGAUGCAUAGCCGACCUGAGAGGGUGAUCGGCCACACUGGAACUGAGACACGGUCCAGACUCCUACGGGAGGCAGCAGUAGGGAAUCUUCCGCAAUGGGCGAAAGCCUGACGGAGCAACGCCGCGUGAGUGAUGAAGGUCUUCGGAUCGUAAAACUCUGUUAUUAGGGAAGAACAUAUGUGUAAGUAACUGUGCACAUCUUGACGGUACCUAAUCAGAAAGCCACGGCUAACUACGUGCCAGCAGCCGCGGUAAUACGUAGGUGGCAAGCGUUAUCCGGAAUUAUUGGGCGUAAAGCGCGCGUAGGCGGUUUUUUAAGUCUGAUGUGAAAGCCCACGGCUCAACCGUGGAGGGUCAUUGGAAACUGGAAAACUUGAGUGCAGAAGAGGAAAGUGGAAUUCCAUGUGUAGCGGUGAAAUGCGCAGAGAUAUGGAGGAACACCAGUGGCGAAGGCGACUUUCUGGUCUGUAACUGAUGCUGAUGUGCGAAAGCGUGGGGAUCAAACAGGAUUAGAUACCCUGGUAGUCCACGCCGUAAACGAUGAGUGCUAAGUGUUAGGGGGUUUCCGCCCCUUAGUGCUGCAGCUAACGCAUUAAGCACUCCGCCUGGGGAGUACGACCGCAAGGUUGAAACUCAAAGGAAUUGACGGGGACCCGCACAAGCGGUGGAGCAUGUGGUUUAAUUCGAAGCAACGCGAAGAACCUUACCAAAUCUUGACAUCCUUUGACAACUCUAGAGAUAGAGCCUCCCCCUUCGGGGGACAAAGUGACAGGUGGUGCAUGGUUGUCGUCAGCUCGUGUCGUGAGAUGUUGGGUUAAGUCCCGCAACGAGCGCAACCCUUAAGCUUAGUUGCCAUCAUUAAGUUGGGCACUCUAAGUUGACUGCCGGUGACAAACCGGAGGAAGGUGGGGAUGACGUCAAAUCAUCAUGCCCCUUAUGAUUUGGGCUACACACGUGCUACAAUGGACAAUACAAAGGGCAGCGAAACCGCGAGGUCAAGCAAAUCCCAUAAAGUUGUUCUCAGUUCGGAUUGUAGUCUGCAACUCGACUACAUGAAGCUGGAAUCGCUAGUAAUCGUAGAUCAGCAUGCUACGGUGAAUACGUUCCCGGGUCU
This 1372-nucleotide ribosomal RNA is filed under the name uncultured bacterium. RNAcentral's name for it is "bacterial SSU rRNA". It matches the Rfam family "Bacterial small subunit ribosomal RNA", at positions 28 to 1381 of the family's 1533-position model. The record is from RNAcentral.